CUGGCUAGGUGGUUUAGUCAGUGGGCCCACCACGGAUCUACUUUUUGAUCCUUGAAGUAUUUCUUUUCGAGAUAGUCAUAUAUAAUAUAAAAUUAUUGCUCUAUAUGCUAAAAUUUCUAGUAAGAUCUGAGCUCCUUCGCCAGAGCUAUGGCACCUUUAUUGUCACAUUAUAGUUGUGCCAUCUGAUGACGUUACACAAAAUUCUGCAAUGGACCUAUUUAAAUCAGAAGACUUUCUCAGCAGCCUUAGA
RNAcentral lists this long non-coding RNA (250 nucleotides) under Elaeis guineensis (African oil palm). RNAcentral describes it as "long non-coding RNA (EGUI_LNC013078)". The record is from RNAcentral. Lineage: Eukaryota; Viridiplantae; Streptophyta; Magnoliopsida; Arecales; Arecaceae.